CAACUGGAGACAGAAACACAAACACGUGCAGAGAUGUGUCAGGCAUGAACUUGGAAGACUUCUGAAAGUUACUAUGUGCUGCACGGGUUGGGGGCACCAAUGUUCUGCACCCGGAGGAACCUGGAGCCUUCAGCAGGUUCAGUCGCCCUCAGCAGUAAGGAGCCAACCAGGGACUCCAGGAGCAGACUGAGGAGGUGUCAGCUCCUGCAUUUCUUGGAAUCUUUUCUUUUGUAGGGGCAGAGAUUUCCUGUAUUCUCUCCUGAGCACAGGAACACAUGGAGCUGGUGCUCAACAGAUGAGGAACAUAAGCAUCCGACGCCCAAUGUGUGCAUACUGGCUUGGAUUAUAACGUCUCCCUUUGUGAGAAGCUCAACCCAUUUGUUUCUCACACUGACUUCUAGAAGGGACAGAGCAUGUCUCUUCUUCUUUACGGUGGAAAUAGUUCCUGUUGCAUUCAGAAUGAAAUGCGACACGGUCCAGCCAACCUCAUCUAAAUCAAGUCUGGGACUCCUCUCCUCCAGCUAAGCUUUGUGGGGGUGUCACAGAGAAGGGAGGGGAGUUCGUGUUCUUUCUGUCUUCUCUGGGAACCUUUCCCCUGUUGGCAUCAGCCCACCGAGCUCUUUCCAAGUCUGUACGUGCCAUAUACCUAAAAUCACUCCCAGCUAACGUCUGCUUUCAACUCA
Long non-coding RNA from Mus musculus (house mouse), 683 nucleotides. RefSeq annotates it as predicted gene, 34170. The record is from RefSeq and is a predicted model, not a curated record. NCBI's taxonomy places the organism in Eukaryota, Metazoa, Chordata, Mammalia, Rodentia, Muridae. The transcript is spliced from 2 exons.